RNAcentral lists this ribosomal RNA (468 nucleotides) under uncultured bacterium. RNAcentral's name for it is "partial 16S ribosomal RNA". It matches the Rfam family "Bacterial small subunit ribosomal RNA", at positions 28 to 507 of the family's 1533-position model. The record is from RNAcentral.
GACGAACGCUGGCGGCGUGCUUAACACAUGCCAGUCGAACGGAAAGGCCCUGCUUUUGUGGGGUGCUCGAGUGGCGAACGGGUGAGUAACACGUGAGUAACCUGCCCUUGACUUUGGGAUAACUUCAGGAAACUGGGGCUAAUACCGGAUAGGAGCUCCUGCUGCAUGGUGGGGGUUGGAAAGUUUCGGCGGUUGGGGAUGGACUCGCGGCUUAUCAGCUUGUUGGUGGGGUAGUGGCUUACCAAGGCUUUGACGGGUAGCCGGCCUGGGAGGGUGGCCGGCCACAUUGGGACUGAGAUACGGCCCAGACUCCUACGGGAGGCAGCAGUGGGGAAUAUUGCACAAUGGGCGGAAGCCUGAUGCAGCAACGCCGCGUGCGGGAUGACGGCCUUCGGGUUGUAAACCGCUUUCGCCUGUGACGAAGCGUGAGUGACGGUAAUGGGUAAAGAAGCACCGGCUAACUACGUG